UACGGAGGGUGCAAGCGUUAUCCGGAUUCACUGGGUUUAAAGCGUGCGCAGGCGGCUAUGCAAGACAGAUGUGAAAUCCCCGGGCUCAACCUGGGAACUGCAUUUGUGACUGCAUGGCUAGAGUACGGUAGAGGGGGGAUGGAAUUCCCAGUGUAGAGGUGAAAUUCGUAGAUAUUGGGAAGAACACCAGUGGCGAAGGCGGCUCUCUGGACCGAUACUGACGCUGAGGCGCGAAAAGCGUGGGGGAGCAAACAGG
This 256-nucleotide ribosomal RNA is filed under the name uncultured bacterium. RNAcentral's name for it is "partial 16S ribosomal RNA". It matches the Rfam family "Bacterial small subunit ribosomal RNA", at positions 524 to 776 of the family's 1533-position model. The record is from RNAcentral.